AGCUUAUUAAUAUUUUAGUUUCGACCUAAAAAUUGGGCAUUGCUCGUGAGCUU
This 53-nucleotide transfer RNA is filed under the name Sinergasilus undulatus. RNAcentral describes it as "tRNA-Arg". The record is from RNAcentral. Lineage: Eukaryota; Metazoa; Arthropoda; Copepoda; Poecilostomatoida; Ergasilidae.